This 429-nucleotide ribosomal RNA is filed under the name Verrucomicrobiota bacterium. Its description in RNAcentral is "Verrucomicrobia bacterium partial 16S ribosomal RNA". It matches the Rfam family "Bacterial small subunit ribosomal RNA", at positions 355 to 776 of the family's 1533-position model. The record is from RNAcentral. Lineage: Bacteria; Pseudomonadati; Verrucomicrobiota.
UAGGGAAUCUUCCGCAAUGGACGAAAGUCUGACGGAGCAACGCCGCGUGAGUGAAGAAGGUUUUCGGUUCGUAAAACUCUGUUGUUAGGGAAGAAAAAAUGUAUAGUAACUAUAUACAAAAGAGACGGUACCUAACCAGAAAGCCACGGCUAACUACGUGCCAGCAGCCGCGGUAAUACGUAGGUGGCAAGCGUUGUCCGGAAUUAUUGGGCGUAAAGCGCGCGCAGGUGGUUUAGAAAGUCUGAUGUGAAAGCCCACGGCUCAACCGUGGAGGGUCAUUGGAAACUAAUAAACGUGAGUGCAGGAGAGAAAAGUGGAAUUCCUAGUGUAGCAGUGAAAUGCGUAGAGAUUAGGAGGAACACCGGUGGCGAAAGCGGCUUUUUGGCCUGCAACUGACACUGAGGCGCGAAAGCGUGGGGAGCAAACAGG